RNAcentral lists this ribosomal RNA (458 nucleotides) under uncultured bacterium. RNAcentral describes it as "partial 16S ribosomal RNA". It matches the Rfam family "Bacterial small subunit ribosomal RNA", at positions 338 to 795 of the family's 1533-position model. The record is from RNAcentral.
CCUACGGGAGGCAGCAGUGAGGAAUAUUGGUCAAUGGGCGAGAGCCUGAACCAGCCAAGUCGCGUGAGGGAGUACUGCCCUAUGGGUUGUAAACCUCUUUUGUCGGGGAGCAAAAGCCGGACGUGUCCGGCUGUGAGAGUACCCGAAGAAAAAGCAUCGGCUAACUCCGUGCCAGCAGCCGCGGUAAUACGGAGGAUGCGAGGGUUCUCCGGAUUUAUUGGGUUUAAAGGGUGCGCAGGCGGAUUUUUAAGACAGGGGUAAAAUCGUGGGGCUCAACCCCAUCCAGCCGUUGAAACUGGGGAUCUAGAGUGUGCGAGAGGUAUGCGGAAUGCGUGGUGUAGCGGUGAAAUGCAUAGAUAUCACGCAGAACCCCGAUUGCGAAGGCAGCAUACCGGUGCACAACUGACGCUCAGGCACGAAAGCGUGGGUAUCGAACAGGAUUAGAUACCCCGGUAGUC